This 968-nucleotide long non-coding RNA is filed under the name Helianthus annuus (common sunflower). RNAcentral describes it as "hypothetical non coding rna". The record is from RNAcentral. Lineage: Eukaryota; Viridiplantae; Streptophyta; Magnoliopsida; Asterales; Asteraceae.
GCAAGAAGCUAAGGAAUUCAUUUGGCGAUCAAAAGACAAAUUGACAUGUGGCUGUUGUAUAUGUUAGUAGUUGAUAAGCAAAGGGUUGCAUCUAGGUUGUGUGUCAACUUAGUUUCAUGUUUAUCGAGUUAAAGGCUGUCAGAAUUGUUAAUCCUUCUAUCGGUUCUAAUAAUGAUGUGUCAUUACCCUGUGUCAGGAUGGGUAAAUAUCCGUAAGUAAGGAUAAUUUAGUAGGUUGAACAAAAGAAGAUGAAUCGUUCAAAGGCAGUGGUAAAAAGAUCUUGGUUUACCCUUUGAUUCAAUUCGGUUGAAGCCAAUUGGCAAGUUAUCCCUUCGUCUAGUUGAACGAGUUCCGUUAUUAGUCAAGUUCAAAAGUUCGAUUGAAGUGGGUUUAAAGGAUUGUUCAAGUGCUACUUGAAAGGCGUUUGAGGGCCUCUUGAAGUCCUGUCAGAAGAGUCAUGUAGUUUGUGACUACCAAUUGAAUCCAGAUGAAGAGGCGUUUUUUUCCCAAGGCGAAACGUGUGUCGCUCAAGCUCUUCAAGAUGAAGUGACGUUGUGACUACAAGGAGACAUGAUGUUAGUACCAGUAAUGAUAUUGCAACCAAGGAUGACAAUGGUAGUGUGUCUACUGAAGAUGUCAAUGGAGGUCAUGUGUUUGCCGAAGAUGGAGCGGCAGAUCAAGGCAAAAUGAGUCAAGACUGAGAGGGACACUUAUGGAAGUUGAUGUUGAGAGGGAGUGAUAAAAUUACAAUAUCAACUAGGGAGGUUCGGCUGAUCUCAAAGGUUGGUUUGGUGGAGAUCUAAAGUCGAAGGACUAAACAAGUAAAAUAGUAAUUAAAUGUAUUUAAUUAUUAUUUGAAUUAUCUGUUAGUAUUGUUUAGUAUUUGAGUUAGAGAAGAAAUAGAAUUCCUAUUAGUCUAGGAUGUUUACAAUAUUGAGUCCUUGUAAUCAAGUUUAUUCAUUCACAAA